GGCGGCGUAGCCAAGUGGUAAGGCAGAGCUCUGCAAAAGCUCGAUCACCAGUUCAAAUCUGGUCGCCGCCU
RNAcentral lists this transfer RNA (71 nucleotides) under bacterium. Its description in RNAcentral is "tRNA-Cys". It matches the Rfam family "tRNA". Rfam says of the family: Transfer RNA (tRNA) molecules are approximately 80 nucleotides in length. The record is from RNAcentral.